CGCGUAGGCGGCCUUCUAAGUCAGACGUGAAAUCCCCCGGCUCAACCUGGGAACUGCGUCUGAUACUGGAGGGCUUGAAUGCGGGAGAGGGAUGUGGAAUUCCAGGUGUAGCGGUGAAAUGCGUAGAUAUCUGGAGGAACACCGGUGGCGAAGGCGGCAUCCUGGACCGACAUUGACGCUGAGGCGCGAAAGCUAGGGUAGCAAACG
This 207-nucleotide ribosomal RNA is filed under the name uncultured Acidobacteriota bacterium. RNAcentral's name for it is "uncultured Acidobacteria bacterium partial 16S ribosomal RNA". It matches the Rfam family "Bacterial small subunit ribosomal RNA", at positions 568 to 774 of the family's 1533-position model. Lineage: Bacteria; Pseudomonadati; Acidobacteriota. The record is from RNAcentral.